UGCAAAUCAAUAUAAAUUGAAUUUAAUAUUUAUUUAUUUAUUUAUUUUAUGAUUUAUUUAUAUUAUUAUUUGUUUAAUUUAUAUUAAAAAUAAUUAUAAAAAUUAGUGUUUUAGUAAUUUUUAAUGAAAAAAUAAAUUUAAUUAUAGUUUAUUUGUAUUGUGAAAGAUUAUUGAAAUAAUUUGAAAAAUUUUUAUUUUAUAAGAAAAAUUUAUUUUUUGUACCUUGUGUAUCAGGGUUUAUUAAAUAAUUGAUAUUAAAAAUAUUGAUCUCGAUUUUAUAAGAGUUAAUAAUUUAUUAAAUUUAAUGUGUUAAAAUUAUUUUAAAUAAGUUAUUAGAAAUGAAAUGUUAUUCGUUUAUAAAUAUAUCUGGUUUUUUUAGAAAUAAAUUUAAUUUAGUAAUUUUUGAUUUAUUUAUUUAUUUUGUUAAUAAAUAAAUUUAUUAAUUAUAAUAUUUUAAGGGAUAAGCUUUAAAAUGAAUUAUUAUAAAUGAGAUAAAUUAGUUAAAAAAUAUAUGCUUAGAAUUAGCAAUUAUUAUUAAUUUUGUUAAAAAUUAUUUUACUUAAAUAUUAUUUAUUAAUGUUUUAAUUUUUUAUAAAAAAAAAAUUUUUUGUAAUUUUAUUUGAAAAGAAAUAAUGAUUAAAUUAGUAUAUAUAUAUAUAUAUAUAUAUAUAAGUAAUUUUUAAUGAAAAGUUUAUAUAAAGAACUCGGCAAAUAUAUUACUCGCCUGUUUAACAAAAACAUGUCUUUUUGAGUUAAUUUUAAAGUCUGACCUGCCCAAUGAAAAUUUUUAAUGGCCGCAGUAAUUUAACUGUGCAAAGGUAGCAUAAUCAUUAGUCUUUUAAUUGAAGGCUUGUAUGAAUGGUUGGAUGAAGUAUAAUCUGUUUCAUAUAAAUUUAUUAUAGAAUUUUAUAUUUUAGUAAAAAAGCUAAAAUUUUGUUAAAAGACGAGAAGACCCUAUAAAUCUUUAUAAUUUUAAAAAUUUUUAUUUUUUAGAUUGAUUUUAUAUUAAUUUUUAAAAUUAUUUUAUUGGGGUGAUAUUAAAAUUUAAUUAACUUUUAAUUAAUUGUUAUCAUUAAUUUAUGAUUUAUUGAUCUAUUAUUAAUGAUUAAAAGAAUAAGUUACUUUAGGGAUAACAGCGUAAUUUUUUUGGAGAGUUCUUAUUGAUAAAAAAGUUUGCGACCUCGAUGUUGGAUUAAGGUAAAUUUUAGGUGUAGUUGCUUAAAUGAUAAGUCUGUUCGACUUU
RNAcentral lists this ribosomal RNA (1243 nucleotides) under Eurosta solidaginis (goldenrod gall fly). RNAcentral describes it as "partial 16S ribosomal RNA". Lineage: Eukaryota; Metazoa; Arthropoda; Insecta; Diptera; Tephritidae. The record is from RNAcentral.